RNAcentral lists this ribosomal RNA (274 nucleotides) under uncultured bacterium. RNAcentral describes it as "partial 16S ribosomal RNA". It matches the Rfam family "Bacterial small subunit ribosomal RNA", at positions 80 to 354 of the family's 1533-position model. The record is from RNAcentral.
UUUCUCCGCCGGCGACCGGCGCACGGGUGAGUAACACGUAUGCAACCUGCCCCUGUCAGGGGGACAACCCGCCGAAAGGCGGGCUAAACCCGCGUACAUGCCACCGGGCAUCCCGGAGGCAGGAAAGGCUUAGGCCGGACAGGGAUGGGCAUGCGGCGCAUUAGGCAGUAGGCGGGGUAACGGCCCACCUAACCGACGAUGCGUAGGGGUUCUGAGAGGAAGGUCCCCCACACUGGUACUGAGACACGGACCAGACUCCUACGGAAGGCAGCAG